UUUUUUUUUUUUUUUUUUUUUUUUUUUCUUCCUUUUUUUUCUCUUUCUAUUUUCUUUCCUUCUUUCUCUCCUCUUUUUCUCCUUUUCCCAGUACAACUUGCUUUUGGCCACUCUGCACUGAGCAAAAUGACUAGAAGGAAAACCUCACCUCAAAAGAAAGAAUCAGAAACAGUCCACUCUCCCAAAGAGUUACAAAAUCUGGAUUACAAUUCAAUGUCAGAAAGCCAAUUCAGAAGCACUAUUAUACAGCUACUGGUGGCUCUAGAAAAAAGCAUAAAGGACUCAAGAGACUUCAUGACUGCAGAAUUUAGAGCUAAUGAGGCAGAAAUUAAAAAUCAAUUGAAUGAGAUGCAAUCCAAACUAGAAGUCCUAACACCAGGGUUAACGAGGUGGAAGAACGAGUGAGUGACAAAGAAGACAAGUUGAUAGCAAAGAGGGAAACGGAGGAAAAAAGAGACAAACAAUUAAAAGACCAUGAAGAUAGAAUAAGGGAAAUAAACGACAGCCUGAGGAAGAAAAACCUACGUUUAAUUGGUGUUCCCGAGGGUGCCGAAAGGGACAGAGGGCCAGAAUAUGUAUUUGAACAAAUUCUAGCUGAAAACUUUCCUAAUCUGGGAAGGGAAACAGGCAUUCAGAUCCAGUUAAUAGAGAGAUCCCCCCCUAAAAUCAAUAACACGUGUCAACACCUCGACAUUUAAGUGAAGUUGCAAAUUCCAAGUAAAGAGAGAUCUUAAGCAGCAAGAGACAAGAAACCCUGACUUUUAUAGAGAGAGUUAGGGAACAGCUGACCCUUCCACAGAGACCUGGCAGGCCAGAAAGGGCUGGCUGGCAGGAUAUUUCAGGGUCCUAAAUGAGAAGAACAUGCAACCAAGAAUACUUUAUCCAGCAAGGCUCUCAUUCAAAAUGGAAGGAGGAUAAAGAGCUUCCAAGACAGGCAGAACUAAAAGAAAUGUGACCUCCAAACCAGUUCUGCAAGAAAUUUUAAGGGGGACUCUUAAAUUCCCCUUAACAAUAAGUUCAGUGGAACAUUCCACAAACAAAGGACUGAAUAGUUAUCAUGAUGACACUAAAUUCAUAUCUCUCAUAGUAACUCUGAAUGUGAUGGGCUUAAUGACCCCUCAAAAGGCACAGGGUUAGACUGGAUAAAAAAGCAGGACCAUCUAUUUGCUGUCUACCAGAGACUCAUUUGACAGAAGGACACUACCCUGAAAAAAAACGUUGUAGACCAUUUACCAUUUCGGUCCUCAAAAGAAAGCAGGGUAGCCAUCCUUAUAUCAGAUAAACUAAAAUUACCCCAAAGACUGUAGUGAGAGAUGAAGAGGACUAUAUCAUACUUAAAGGAUCUAUUCAAGAGGACUUAACAAUCCUCAAUAUAUAGCCGAAUGUGGGAGCUGCCAAAUAUAUAAAUCUAUUAACCAAAGUGAAGAAAUACUUAGAUAAUAAUAACUUAUAAUUGGUGACUUCAAUCUAGCUCUUUUCUACUCGAUAGGUCUUCUAAGCACAACAUCUCCAAAGAAACGAGAGCUUAAAUGAUACACUGGACAGAUGGAUUUCACUGAUAUCUACAGAACUUUACAUCCAAACUCAACUGAAUACAAUCUUCUCAGUGCACUAGGAACUUCUUCCAGAAUAGACACAUAUUGGGUCACAAAUCGGGUCUGAACUGAUACCAAAAGAUUGGGAUCGUCCCAGCAUAUUUUAGAUCAUAAUGCCUUGAAAUUAGAAAUAAAUAACAGAAGUUUGGAAGGACCUCAAACACGUGGAGGUUAAGGACCAUCCUGCUAAAAGAUGAAAGGGUCAACCAGGAAAUUAAGGAAGAAUUAAAAAGAUUCUUGGAAACUAAAUGAGAAUGAAGAUACAACCAUCAAAAUUUUGGGAUGCAGCAAAAGCAGUCCUAAGGGGGAAAUACAUCGCAAUACAAGCAUCCAUUCAAAACACUGGAAAGAACUCAAAUACAAAAGCUAACCUUACACAUAAAGGAGCUAGAGAAAAAACAGCAAAUAGAUCUCACACCCAAGAGAAGAGGGAGUUAAUAAAGAUUCGGGAAACUCAACGAAAUCGAGAACAGAAGAAAUGUGGAACAGAUCAACAGAACCAGGAGUUGGUUCUUUGAAAGAAUUAUAAGAUAGAUAAACCAUUAGCCAGCCUUAUUAAAAGAAGAGAGAGAAGACUCAAAUUAAUAAAUCAUGAAUGAGAAAGGAGAGAUCACUACCAACACCAAGGAAAUACAAACGAUAUUUAAAACAUAUUAUGAACAGUCUACGCCAAUAAAUUAGGCAAUCUAGAGAAAAGGGACGCAUUCCUGGAAAGCCACAAAAUACCAAAACUGGAACAGGAAGAAAUAGAAAAUCUUAACGGCCAAUAACCAGGGAGGAAAUUGAAGCAGUCAUCAAAAACCUCCC
Molecule: long non-coding RNA, 2402 nt
Filed under: Canis lupus familiaris (dog)
Lineage: Eukaryota; Metazoa; Chordata; Mammalia; Carnivora; Canidae
Description: lncRNA (ENSCAFG00845021064.1)
Source: RNAcentral